AUGGACUUAUAUUAUGUGCUUUGGAGGCAAGGCCAUAUUGAUUUGUCUUUUUGUAGUCAAAAUUUUUCUUUUCAUAUAAGUGAAUGCAUUGUUGUUAUGAGAUUUGUUGUGAAAGCACAGCCGUGUUGGAUCUUCCUGACAUCAGAAGUUCAGAACCAUUCAUUCAACUGGAGCAGAUUGGUUCGCCAGCUAAUCUCUGAAAUUGAUGAUUCUAAGCGACUUAGAGUGAUGGUGUUGUUUUCGAGGCCGUGGCAUGUAAAGAACGAAUUGGUACACUCUAAGCCGUCUCCCCCCAUCGAGGUAUCUGACAGGUUUGUUUGCAGGUUGCAGCUACAUUGA
This 339-nucleotide ribosomal RNA is filed under the name Triticum aestivum (bread wheat). RNAcentral describes it as "partial small subunit ribosomal RNA". The record is from RNAcentral. Lineage: Eukaryota; Viridiplantae; Streptophyta; Magnoliopsida; Poales; Poaceae.